RNAcentral lists this ribosomal RNA (252 nucleotides) under uncultured bacterium. Its description in RNAcentral is "partial 16S ribosomal RNA". It matches the Rfam family "Bacterial small subunit ribosomal RNA", at positions 524 to 776 of the family's 1533-position model. The record is from RNAcentral.
UACGGGGGGGCAAGCGUUGUUCGGAAUUACUGGGCGUAAAGGGCUCGUAGGCGGCCAACUAAGUCGGAUGUGAAAUCCCCAGGCUUAACCUGGGAACUGCAUCCGAUACUGGAUGGCUUGAAUUCGGGAGAGGGAUGCAGAAUUCCAGGUGUAGCGGUGAAAUGCGUAGAUAUCUGGAGGAAUACCGGUGGCGAAGGCGGCAUCCUGGACCGACAUUGACGCUGAGGAGCGAAAGCUAGGGGAGCAAACGGG